This 489-nucleotide ribosomal RNA is filed under the name uncultured bacterium. RNAcentral describes it as "partial 16S ribosomal RNA". It matches the Rfam family "Bacterial small subunit ribosomal RNA", at positions 28 to 507 of the family's 1533-position model. The record is from RNAcentral.
GAUGAACGCUAGCGGCAGGCUUAAUACAUGCAAGUCGUGGGGCAGCAGGACUGUAGCACUACAGUUGCUGGCGACCGGCAAACGGGUGCGGAACACGUACGCAACUUACCCUGAACUGGGGGAUAGCCCGGGGAAACCCGGAUUAAUACCCCGUAAUAUAAUGGAGUGGCAUCACUUUAUUAUUAAAGCUCCGGCGGUUCGGGAUGGGCGUGCGGCUGAUUAGGUAGUUGGUUGAGGUAACGGCUCACCAAGCCUACGAUCAGUAACUGGUGUGAGAGCACGACCAGUCACACGGGCACUGAGACACGGGCCCGACUCCUACGGGAGGCAGCAGUAAGGAAUAUUGGGCAAUGGAGGCAACUCUGACCCAGCCAUGCCGCGUGGAGGAUGAAGGCCCUCUGGGUUGUAAACUUCUUUUAUAGGGGACGAAGCCUGUGUAUUCUUACGCAGUUGACGGUACCCUAGGAAUAAGCACCGGCUAACUCCGUG